RNAcentral lists this ribosomal RNA (462 nucleotides) under Streptococcus sp. oral taxon C08. Its description in RNAcentral is "bacterial SSU rRNA". It matches the Rfam family "Bacterial small subunit ribosomal RNA", at positions 28 to 474 of the family's 1533-position model. Lineage: Bacteria; Bacillati; Bacillota; Bacilli; Lactobacillales; Streptococcaceae. The record is from RNAcentral.
GACGAACGCUGGCGGCGUGCCUAAUACAUGCAAGUAGAACGCUGAAGCUUGGUGCUUGCACCGAGCGGAUGAGUUGCGAACGGGUGAGUAACGCGUAGGUAACCUGCCUGGUAGCGGGGGAUAACUAUUGGAAACGAUAGCUAAUACCGCAUAAGAGUAGAUGUUGCAUGACAUUUGCUUAAAAGGUGCAAUUGCAUCACUACCAGAUGGACCUGCGUUGUAUUAGCUAGUUGGUGAGGUAACGGCUCACCAAGGCGACGAUACAUAGCCGACCUGAGAGGGUGAUCGGCCACACUGGGACUGAGACACGGCCCAGACUCCUACGGGAGGCAGCAGUAGGGAAUCUUCGGCAAUGGACGGAAGUCUGACCGAGCAACGCCGCGUGAGUGAAGAAGGUUUUCGGAUCGUAAAGCUCUGUUGUAAGAGAAGAAACGAGUGUGAGAAGUGGAAAGUUUCACAACU